UGCAGUUAUGCGGCGAUUGUUCAGAGACACUGGCGGGGGCCCCGGGAAGAGUUAUCUUUUCUUUUUAACAGCCUGCCGACCCUAAAAUCGGUUCAACCGGAGAUAGGGUCUCACAGCUGGCAGAGCACCGCACGUCCUGUGGUGUCCGGUGCACCCUCGGCGGUCCUUGAAAAUCUGGAGGAGCAAGU
RNAcentral lists this non-coding RNA (188 nucleotides) under Selaginella moellendorffii. RNAcentral's name for it is "Eukaryotic large subunit ribosomal RNA". It matches the Rfam family "Eukaryotic large subunit ribosomal RNA", at positions 1640 to 1826 of the family's 3401-position model. The record is from Rfam by way of RNAcentral. Lineage: Eukaryota; Viridiplantae; Streptophyta; Lycopodiopsida; Selaginellales; Selaginellaceae.